GAGUGAAGAGGGAAGAGCUCAUCAUUGGAAUCUGGCAGUGUUGCACUGUCCGAGUUGUAGAUGAGGAGUAGUCCGUCUGGACUGCAUGGCGUCCAAGUACAAUAGGCCGUCAGUGGGACAUCAUAGAGGGUGACAAUCCCGUCCUUGACGCUAAUGUGCAAGUCUAUUACGAUGGCUAUCUCAGAGAGUCGAGCAGUUUGGGAUUUGCUGCUUAAACAUGGGAGGUAGAUUCCUUCUAAAGCUAAAUACAGGCGAGAGACCGAUAGAGAACAAGUACCGCAAGGGAAAGAUGAAAUAGCACUCUGUGAAGGGAGUCAAAAGGCGUGAAAUUGUUGCGAGAGAAGCGAUUCAAGUCAGCGUAGCUAGGCCCAUCAAGCGUCUUCGCUUUGGACUAGCUUUGCCAGCGGUCUUGUCCCUUAAAGAGACUUGACUUGUAAUAUGUCCAGCCUGGCGUGCACAGGCAGCCCCUUCUGGGGGCCAGUGGCAUGGCUGGUGGAAUGGCUUGCAAUCGACCCGUCUUGAAACACGGACCAAGGAGUCUAACAUGUAUGCGAGUAUAAGGGUGGCAAACCCGUAUGCGCAAUGAAAGUGAUUUUCGGUGAUUGAGAAUGGCCUGAUGACCAGACAAGCAAUACAUGUCCCUCGUACGGCCAUUGCCCAAGUUCCGUGGUAGAUCCCACGAACAUGGAGUUGGAGCAUACAUGCUAGGACCCGAAAGAUGGUGAACUAUGCCUGGACAAAGCGAAGCCAAAGGAAACUCUGGUGGAGGCUUGUAGCGAUUCUGACGUGCAAAUCGAUCGUCUGAUCUGGGUAUAGGGGCGAAAGACUA
Molecule: ribosomal RNA, 829 nt
Filed under: Cantharellus cibarius (golden chanterelle)
Lineage: Eukaryota; Fungi; Basidiomycota; Agaricomycetes; Cantharellales; Hydnaceae
Also listed under: 3 other names
Description: eukaryotic LSU rRNA
Rfam family: Eukaryotic large subunit ribosomal RNA
Source: RNAcentral